UGACAGCUUUGUCAGUCAUUUGGGCACACAGUCAGCUGCAGCGUGGACACCUCUUAGCCCAGUAUGUGAGAAAGGACCAGUAUCCAUUUACUAAAAUGGUCUCUGAUCUAAAAUCUAUUCUUGUCAAUUAGUAUUUUUCCAUUGACAUCGAUGCACUUUGGAACUUGCUUGUGGAGGCAGAUCAAGUCAAGAAAGCUCAGGAACAGUUUGGAAACACAGGACAGGAAAGUGCCAGAGACUUCAGAGCAUUUCACCAGGAUGGUGGGAUGGGAUUUUUGCUAGCAAGAUAAACUGGAUUCCCAGGGAAAAGAGGUGAAUAUCCUGGAGAAGUAUUUCAUUUGGGACACACAGUGCUUUAUCUAGCAAGUUCAGCCUCACC
Molecule: long non-coding RNA, 379 nt
Filed under: Anser cygnoides (Swan goose)
Lineage: Eukaryota; Metazoa; Chordata; Aves; Anseriformes; Anatidae
Description: lncRNA (ENSACDG00005004980.1)
Source: RNAcentral